RNAcentral lists this transfer RNA (87 nucleotides) under Coxiella sp. RIFCSPHIGHO2_12_FULL_42_15. Its description in RNAcentral is "tRNA-Leu". It matches the Rfam family "tRNA". Rfam says of the family: Transfer RNA (tRNA) molecules are approximately 80 nucleotides in length. Their secondary structure includes four short double-helical elements and three loops (D, anti-codon, and T loops). Lineage: Bacteria; Pseudomonadati; Pseudomonadota; Gammaproteobacteria; Legionellales; Coxiellaceae. The record is from RNAcentral.
GCCGAGGUGGUGAAAUUGGUAGACACGCAAGUUUCAGAUGCUUGUGGGGGAAACCCUGUGGAGGUUCAAGUCCUCUCCUCGGCACCA